ACUGUGUCCAGUCUAAUUCUACAUCAUGUCAUAGUAUAUUGUCGUAGACUCGCUUUUGGACAAAAGCAAACAUACUUUUAUUAUCCUUGUGCUUGUGACAGAUUUAAGUCCUAUGCACACGAGAAACGUAGAAGAACAGCU
Molecule: small nucleolar RNA, 141 nt
Organism: Drosophila busckii
Lineage: Eukaryota; Metazoa; Arthropoda; Insecta; Diptera; Drosophilidae
Rfam family: Small nucleolar RNA psi28S-1192
About the family: psi28S-1192 is a member of the H/ACA class of snoRNA. This family is responsible for guiding the modification of uridine 1192 to pseudouridine in Drosophila 28S rRNA.
Source: Rfam